CGGACGGGUGAGUAGUGUCUGGGAAACUGCCCGAUGGAGGGGGAUAACUACUGGAAACGGUAGCUAAUACCGCAUAACGUCGCAAGACCAAAGAGGGGGACCUUAGGGCCUCUUGCCAUCGGAUGUGCCCAGAUGGGAUUAGCUAGUAGGUGGGGUAAUGGCUCACCUAGGCGACGAUCCCUAGCUGGUCUGAGAGGAUGACCAGCCACACUGGAACUGAGACACGGUCCAG
This 232-nucleotide ribosomal RNA is filed under the name uncultured bacterium. RNAcentral's name for it is "partial 16S ribosomal RNA". It matches the Rfam family "Bacterial small subunit ribosomal RNA", at positions 99 to 334 of the family's 1533-position model. The record is from RNAcentral.